This 187-nucleotide ribosomal RNA is filed under the name uncultured bacterium. RNAcentral's name for it is "partial 16S ribosomal RNA". It matches the Rfam family "Bacterial small subunit ribosomal RNA", at positions 1314 to 1500 of the family's 1533-position model. The record is from RNAcentral.
ACCUACAUGAAGCUGGAAUCGCUAGUAAUCGCGGAUCAGAAUGCCGCGGUGAAUACGUUCCCGGGUCUUGUACACACCGCCCGUCACACCAUGGGAGUCGGAAAUGCCCGAAGUCUGUGACCUAACCGUAAGGAAGGAGCAGCCGAAGGCAGGUCGGAUGACUGGGGUGAAGUCGUAACAAGGUAUC